AGUUGGUGCAUGCAGCCCUGGUUUGUGCAGUGUUCCACAUGAUUCUCUAUGGAUUUGAUGUGGGAGAACGAUUAACCCAGGGGCUGCCCUAUGUGUAUCCUCUUGGACCUAUAGUGGCUGAAUGUCCUUUUUGAGAUCCUGCAGCUGUUGACCCUGAGUGGGAGAAUGCCUUAUCCAGGUGUAGUCUUGUGCACACCUUUCCAGACCCAUAGCAGUGGUUUGGUUGCAGAGCUGUGAUUAUAUGGACAUUCUCCACACUUGGUAUACAGCAGUUCAGACAUGCAGCCCCAUUGGAAUGUGCUGAUAGAGAUGUACUUUUAAUUAUUCGGCUUCAUUAUAUUAUGAUUGGAUUUGAUGAUUCAUGUAUGGCCCUUCUUGAAAAAGAUCCUGGUUUUUGGAUUGAGACGUCGAAAACCUUUGAGGCUACAAUAAAAAUUUUCUAUAGAAGAAA
Molecule: long non-coding RNA, 451 nt
Organism: Pseudophryne corroboree (corroboree frog)
Lineage: Eukaryota; Metazoa; Chordata; Amphibia; Anura; Myobatrachidae
Exons: 5
Source: RefSeq, a predicted model, not a curated record